CCCCUCACAAGGUCGCAUUUGGAGAGUUUCCAGUACUCUACCAGUCUUGACUACAGGAGGGAGAGUCAAGCAGAGGCAUAUCCAUUCCAUUCCAAGUUUGAGCAGUGGCUAGUGAGUGGAAGGCAAUCUGCUACAAAC
Molecule: small nucleolar RNA, 138 nt
Filed under: Ornithorhynchus anatinus (platypus)
Lineage: Eukaryota; Metazoa; Chordata; Mammalia; Monotremata; Ornithorhynchidae
Source: RNAcentral